GCCGGGAACUCUAACGGGACUGCCACGUAAGGUGAGAGGAAGUGGGGAUGACGUCAAAUCAGCACGGCCCUUAUGUCCAGGGCUACACACGUGUUACAAUGGUCGGUACAAAGGGCAGCUACACCGCGAGGUGAUGCUAAUCUCUAAAGCCGGUCUCAGUUCGGAUUGGAGUCUGCAACUCGACUCCAUGAAGUUGGAAUCGCUAGUAAUCGCGGAUCAGCAUGCCGCGGUGAAUACGUUCCCGGGCCUU
This 250-nucleotide ribosomal RNA is filed under the name uncultured Alkaliflexus sp. RNAcentral describes it as "partial 16S ribosomal RNA". It matches the Rfam family "Bacterial small subunit ribosomal RNA", at positions 1130 to 1382 of the family's 1533-position model. Lineage: Bacteria; Pseudomonadati; Bacteroidota; Bacteroidia; Marinilabiliales; Marinilabiliaceae. The record is from RNAcentral.